This 367-nucleotide ribosomal RNA is filed under the name uncultured organism. RNAcentral's name for it is "partial 16S ribosomal RNA". It matches the Rfam family "Bacterial small subunit ribosomal RNA", at positions 527 to 896 of the family's 1533-position model. The record is from RNAcentral.
GUAGGGUCCAAGCGUUAUCCGGAUUUACUGGGCGUAAAGUGUUCCGUAGGCGGUAGUUUAAGUACAUAGUUAAAGCCCGAGGCUCAACUUCGGAAAAGCGAUGUAAACUGAAUUACUUGAGGAUGUUAGGGGGUGCUGGAAUUCACGGUGGAGGGGUGAAAUCCGUUGAUAUCGUGAAGAACACCAAGGGCGAAGGCAGGCACCUGGGACAUUCCUGACGCUGAGGGACGAAAGCUAGGGGAGCAAAAGGGAUUAGAGACCCCUGUAGUCCUAGCCGUAAACGAUCCUCACUAGAUGGUUGGAUUUAUCUGACUGUCGUAAGCUAACGCGUUAAGUGAGGCGCCUGGGUAGUACGGCCGCAAGGCUA